CCAGGGUGGCACCAGAGGAGGAAGCAGACCCCGAACUGCGCUGAGCUAAGUCGUGAGCGGAAAGACUGACGCGGUCACAGCAGGCUGUCCCGCAGGCUGAGAUAGCCAAGAACCAUGAGAGUCCUCCUUCCUGUUCUGCUGAGCAUCUUGCUCUGUAUAGAGCCAGCUCAUUCUCUCAAAUGCUACAACUGUACCAAGGUACAGCAAUCCAGUCAGUGCACCUCUGUUCAGUGCCCGGGGUCAGCAACUCACUGUGGGAGUUUGGAAGCUGGAGAAAAAAAUGGGCCAGAGAACCAAAAGUUUCACUUCAAGGGCUGUACUAAUUCCUGUGAAAAUUUUUUCACGGAAUCAUUUUCAAAGGCCCAUAUGUUGAUCCCCCAAGCUAUCAUUGAAGUGGGUUAUUCCUGCUGUUCAGGAGCACUCCUACUCAGCCUUGGACCUGCCUUCUUCUGGGCCAUGAUGUGA
This 465-nucleotide long non-coding RNA is filed under the name Sarcophilus harrisii (Tasmanian devil). RNAcentral describes it as "lncRNA (ENSSHAG00000024000.1)". The record is from RNAcentral. Lineage: Eukaryota; Metazoa; Chordata; Mammalia; Dasyuromorphia; Dasyuridae.